CCCUACGGGACGCAGCAGUGGGGAAUAUUGCACAAUGGGGGAAACCCUGAUGCAGCAACGCCGCGUGGGCGAUGGAGUACUUCGGUAUGUAAAGCCCUAUCAGCAGGGAAGAAAAUGACGGUACCUGACUAAGAAGCCCCGGCUAAAUACGUGCCAGCAGCCGCGGUAAUACGUAUGGGGCAAGCGUUAUCCGGAUUUACUGGGUGUAAAGGGAGCGUAGGCGGCCUGGCAAGCCUGAUGUGAAAUACCGGGGCCCAACCCCGGGGCUGCAUUGGGAACUGCCAGGCUGGAGUGCCGGAGAGGCA
This 305-nucleotide ribosomal RNA is filed under the name uncultured bacterium. RNAcentral's name for it is "bacterial SSU rRNA". It matches the Rfam family "Bacterial small subunit ribosomal RNA", at positions 337 to 659 of the family's 1533-position model. The record is from RNAcentral.